Molecule: long non-coding RNA, 202 nt
Filed under: Mytilus galloprovincialis (Mediterranean mussel)
Lineage: Eukaryota; Metazoa; Mollusca; Bivalvia; Mytilida; Mytilidae
Source: RNAcentral
GUGGGUGCUAGUUAUCUGACAGGUCACUUUAGCACAUAACCCAAAUUAUAAGGGUCUGAUUGUUUGGCAGUGUAUUAAUAACCUUGAAUCUUGCUAGACUCAGCUGAUAACAUUAGUAAUAUUUUGAAUUAUAUUCGUUUUAUAAAUCUUGAUCUUUUCUGUGUUUUUUUUUAAUAUAUAUUUUGGUGGAUUUUUUGUUGUU